RNAcentral lists this long non-coding RNA (1029 nucleotides) under Brachypodium distachyon (stiff brome). RNAcentral describes it as "long non-coding RNA (BDIS_LNC004590)". Lineage: Eukaryota; Viridiplantae; Streptophyta; Magnoliopsida; Poales; Poaceae. The record is from RNAcentral.
CUGCUACUAUACAUAGCGGCGACUGACCAGGUGGUCAGCUCGGUGCUUGUUGCCGAGAAAGAAGAAGAUCUCCCGAGGGCUAAGCUUGCGGGCCAGGGGGCUGAGUCAGCCCCGGAAACCGCCUCGGACCCGGGAAUCGUCGUCGAGCCGGCGGCACUAACACCGCGCAAGCGGCUCGUGCAACACCCGUUGUACUUUGCUUCACCCAGGGGUCGAACGCGGGUGUUGGUCUCAGGAUGCCGUUGGGGAGGGUAUGGGUUUACCCGGUGUUUGCCUUCCCAGUACCCAUUGAACGCAAUCCCCAAAUCUACCCUUCCCAUAAUUUAUCCAUUAUCCGUUUUACCCAUACCCAGAAAGAUAGAACACAAAUUGGAUCCAACAUUUGUGAUCUCGAUCACAGAACAUAUCACCAAGAAAUAAUCAGAAACAAUCGAAUCAACUUUGAUAAGGUGCAGAUCGAAGAAGAAGAAGAAGAAGAAGAAGAAGAAGAAAGAAAGAAAAAAUGAAUUCCCAAAACUGGAUCGAGAGGCAUCAUUCAGGCCGCCGAACUUCCUCCAUGGCCGGCCAUCACGGCCUGCGGCGGGGGCGGCAUGAGGGACGUCAACGGUGAGGGAGGACCGUCCCCCCCCCCCCCCCCCACCCUCCCCCCUUUGCUGCUCCUCCUCCCUGCGCUUCGCCAUGGACACAUCCCUCUCUGAACAUGCCGCUACGGCACCCACCUGACGAAGAACGAGGCCUGAGCUCUGUGCGGGGAUAGAAGGGGGAAGGGCAAGUCACAGGGAAGUGGGCGGCCGGCGGCACACAAGGGUGGAGGAGCACGGCGGCCGGCGGCGCACAGGGACGGAGCAAAACUCGCCCAGGCGGUGGUUGGAUUGUUGGAUUUGGAGAAGGGGAACGACGUGCGGUCUCUCGAGCAGUCUUGAUGGGUAUUACCCACACCAAAACAUUGCCCAUACCCGACCCAAACGUUUGGGUAUGGAUAAGGGAACGGGUAUUGGAUACCCACCGGCAUCCUGAUGUUGGUCCAAG